AACAAUUGAAUAUGGGAUGACAAUUUGCGAUAUCAAAAAAUAAUUGAGACGAGACAAAAAUGAAUGAUUGAGAAGAGAACAAGGGACGAGAUGAAAUGAGAGGAGACGAGGAGAAUGGAAUGGAAUGAUCAUGGCCUAGCUGAUAUAACGAUCGCUUUACCUUUACUUCACUAUCGAAUUCAUUGAUGAUGAUGAUGGUGUAUGACAAAAAUGGAUGAUGGAUGAUUAAGCUAUCGUUAAAUGCAAACAAGCGAUGUGGAACGUAACGCUAAACGAGAAUGUAGAGAGUCGCUAAGAAAAGGAUCGCGUGAAAUAGUGACCGAUUUAACGAGAGAUAGCGAACGAGAAAGGAAAAAGAAAAAGGCACGCGAUGCUAAUGAGUAGCACAGAUUUUGAAAGAAGAAAAGGAAAAAAAAAAUAUCGCAUUCUAUCAAAAAAAAUCGCUUUUCAAAAUUGAAUAGCUUUUUGGAAUGUACUUUUCUGUAUAUAAAUGUUGAAAACAAAUUUUUACUGGGGCUAUGAGCCUUUUACUCCUGUGUCACAAGUCUCAUGGUUCGGUGUUAUAGGGUGCUGGAACGAGUAAGACGAUAAGACGCAAGCCUAGGGAAGAAAGGAAGAAAAAAAAAAGAGCUGCGCAAAAAAAAAAAAAAAAAAGGAAAGGAGUCGCAUGCCAUUGUAGAGAAAGAGAGAAAGAGAAAGAGAAUGUGAGAAAAAGAAAGAAAAGAAAAGGAGAAGGAGAAAAGAAAAGGAAAAAGAGAAAAGAAAAAGAAAAGAAGAAUAACAAGAUCAGAUUAAAACGAAACGAAACAAAACGAGAAAAUAAUCUUUCAUUUGAUGUUUGCGAAUCAUUAGCGUUAAUUAAUUAAUAAGUUGAAUUAGUCGAUACAAUACAAUACAAGGACAAUACUAUACAUGGGACAACAAGACAAAACCCCGAGUCGCCUAAAAUUCCCACUAUAACAAAUGGCUCGCCCAACUUCUCUAUUAGCAAAAGCUGCUUUGACUUUACCGACUAAGCAAAACAUUGACUGACACUCACCUGUACUAUUAUCAAACACCGAAAUAAGGGUACGCACUAGGGAAAGACUCAUGUGAUGGAAAGAAGCAAAGCAAACCACAGUGGCGGAACGGAAGAAAAGUGGAACCUUAGUGAGAGCAGCAACAAAGGAAAAAAAAAGUGGAAAAGAAAAACAAAGUGGGGAAAUUGAAAUGAUUGAGGGGAUUUUUGUGGAGGUUAUUGACCUAUUUGGAGAGGAUUCCCAUGAAAGUGUCCAAAUUGACGUGAAUUCCAUAUUCCGAUAAUAAUUUUCACCAAUGACAUAAAUUUGCGACCAACAGAAUAGAAGCCUGUGCACCUAAAAAAUAGCCUCUCCACCACAAAAUUGGUCAAGAUUUGCGGAGAAGGUGAUGGGAUUGGUGGAUGGGCGAUAUACUGCGGGGUUACACGGUAUUAGGAAGCCUAAAAUGCGAAUUCUCCACACGAUAGAAAAAGAUGAAAAGAGGGGUUGGGGGAGGAUGACGAGGGUGACAGAGAAAACAAAGCCGGUUGAAUGCAAACAUUUGAAAGACAAUGGAUGAGGGUGUCAAGCAUGAAGAAAGAGAGAGAGACGGGUAAAGGAAGAAGAAGCAGAAAAAGGGUAGAGAAGGAAUAAACUAGACGAAAGAAAAGGUUGAGCGGGGAGGAGGAGAGGAGACGAGAGCGAGAGCGAGAGCGAAAAAGAGAAUGUGUGUGAAAGAGAGAUGUGUAUUAUGUGUUUUAUUUUUGUUUAUGUAUGUGUGUAUGGAAAAGGUUUGAUGGGAAUAAAGAUUUAUUUUUUUUUUUCAAUAAAGAAAAGA
Molecule: non-coding RNA, 1836 nt
Organism: Schizosaccharomyces pombe (fission yeast)
Lineage: Eukaryota; Fungi; Ascomycota; Schizosaccharomycetes; Schizosaccharomycetales; Schizosaccharomycetaceae
Source: the annotation of a GenBank genome assembly